AUGGCGACCGCGGACCCUGGCCCGGCGAGCCCGUCAUCGCUGGCCCCGCUCAGGCCGGCCUGCGCCGUCACCUUCGGCCGCUCCACGCUCCUCGGCCGCCACCUGGCCGCCGCGCUCGCCGCCUCCCGCCGAUGGUCUGCCGUCGCCGUGCUGGACCCCUCCCCCUGCGACGCCUCGCCGACCGCGCCCCUCGCCCACGUCACCGUCGACCUCUCCGACCCCGCGGCGGCUCUCGGCCCCGCCCUCGCCGGCGUCGAGGCCGUCUUCCACGUGGACCCCACCUCCGCCGCCGACGCCGCCGGCGACGGGUCCUUCCUCUCGCUCCACCGCGUCGCGGCCGAGGGCACCAGGCGCCUCCUCGCCGCCUGCCGCGCCAGCGGCGUGCGCAGGGUCGUGUACACCGGCUCCGCCGCCGCCGUCGCCGCCGCCGCGCUCGAUGUGGUCGACGCCGACGAGGACUCGGUGCCGUACCCCGACAAGUUCGGGAGCGCGGUCAGCGAGCUCAGGGCGCAGGUCGAGAUGAUGGUUCUGAGCACGGAUGGGAACGACGGGAUGCGGACGUGCGUGCUGCGGCCGAGCAAUCUGUUCGGGCCAGGCGAUUCGAGUCUGGUGAGGUUCGUUGCUGGAUAUGCAAGGUCUCCCUUGGGCAAGUUUGUAAUAGGUAGUGGAGGUAGCAAGUCUGACUUUACGUAUGUGGAAAAUGUGGUACAUGCCAACAUUUGCGCUGAACAAGCUUUAUGUUCCAAUGCUGCUUCUGUUGCUGGAAAGCCUUUUUUUGUUACUAAUGGUGAACCUAUCGAAACAUGGGAGUUUGUGUCCUGCAUGAUGGAAGCCAUGGGUUGCCAAAGGCCCAGAGUUAAUCUUCCUGCCAAGAUGCUAUUGUUUGCUGCCCAGUUCUCCAAUAUGAUUCAUCAUAGAUUGGGUUUGCAAAUGUCAUCGACUCCACCUCUCUAUCCUGAUGCAGUAUACUUCUUGUCGCACACAAGAACUUUUAACAUUUCCAAAGCUAGAAGGCAACUUGGGUAUGCCCCAACUGUAUCAUUGGAGGAUGGAAUCAUGAGAACUGCUGCAUCAGUUUCGGAACUACAAGAUAAUUUGGGUAUAUCUAGGAAACAAGGUUCUUGUGGAUCAUCGAAAGCAGAUAAGCUGCUUGGGAGUGGAGUAGCUGCUGACAUUCUCCUUUGGAGGGAUGAAAAGAAAACCUUCUCAUAUAUCACACUACUGUUUCUGCUGUUCUACUGGUUCUUUCUUUCAGACAGAACUUUUGUCUCCUCGUCUGCCAAAAUUCUUCUAGUGAUCUUCCUGGCUCUUUACAUCCAUGGUGUACUACCUUCAAAAGUGUAUGGUUUUACAGUAGAGAAGGUAACUCCUGAUUGUUUUGAAGUAUCAGACUCAACAUUGAGGAAUCCAAUCAUGUGCAUGGCUUCUCUAUGGAAUGGAGGUAUUCAUAAACUGAGGGUUCUAGCAGAAGGUGAUGACUGGGGUACCUUCUUAAAGGCUGUUGCUUCCUUGUUCUGUGUCAAAGUAAUGCUGCACUUCCAGUUUAGAACGCUGAUUGGUCUUGCGCUGGCAUCCUUGUUCAUUGUCUUCAUUGUCUACGAACAAUGUGAAGAGGGGAUUGACGCUUUAGUAGCUAUGGCAUCUGUCAAAAUCAAAUCCCUAGUGGACAGAGUUGGUAGAGAUUUGCCGGCGGUUCGAAAUGUGCUGGUCUCUUCGAAGGCGUCGUAUAUUUUACAGAUAAUCUUGGCGAUGACUCUUUGA
This 1761-nucleotide ribosomal RNA is filed under the name Triticum aestivum (bread wheat). RNAcentral's name for it is "partial small subunit ribosomal RNA". The record is from RNAcentral. Lineage: Eukaryota; Viridiplantae; Streptophyta; Magnoliopsida; Poales; Poaceae.